CAGGUCUACUGUCGAUCGUCUUGCUUAGUUUUAAUGCCCUGAUGUAACUACUGCUGUUGUCCAGAUCUCGUUUGGGCCCAACACGGUGAGUGUUACUCCAUGGCGGACACAUAUUCCGGUGUUCGAAACGUCGUUUUAAUUAAAACAAGGACGAUGGACAGUGUCCAAGCACUAUGUCAUGAAAAAGCGUCGUUAUAUAAACUAUAAAUAAAUGACAGAUCAAGUUUCACACGCAUACAAAACCCGUAAAAUUAUGGUUUUGUAUAUUUAAACUUUAUUUCUAGAUUGCGUGCCAGGAAACAUUCCCAGAAAGUAAUUUCCUCUUAAAUUCUGUGAAGGUUAAUGUCGAUUGUUUAUAAAUCGCAUUCCUAGGGACAACAGGAAACAUCUACACAAAUUGAAACCGUCGCUCUUUGUUGGAUGGUCCACGAAUUUGUGUUGCUGUUUUUCGGCUCUGGGCACGUUUAAGUAUCGAUUGUACAUAGCAGCGGUCGAGGGGUAUCGCCGCGCGACGUCUGUGACGUCAUAUCCUGCCAUUUUGCUUGGGAAGGAAGCAGCGUGCCACAGCUGAGACCAGUUCAGGUCGAAGUACUCUGUUGGUGAGAGUAACGGAGGAGUAGGCCGCCGGGCUCAAUCGACUUGUGGUUCAGAAUUCUCUCCUUAUUUCCUCCGUAUGACGCCAAACUAACCCCUAUUCUAGUCAUCGUGUCUCUCUCCGACUGGCCACAGAAAGAAUCGGGCGUGCACUUUGUCCAGACAGGAGAAGAAUAUCUGCAUCAACAAUGUAACGAAGGAAGCGAGAUUUGAAGAGACCAGUGGCUCUGAGACACGCUUCAUGCGUCGAAGACGUCCUCAUUUGGCUUUCCUCUGGGCACUGAUCGUCCGAUGACACGUGCGAGGCAAGUGGCACUGGUGUAACGAAAGUGCAGUUGACAUGAACUCGUUUAUUUAACGCAAAUGCUCAGUGGAGUUUGUCUGCACACACGAGGCGGAGUAAAGUGUGUCCAGAACGUUGUCUUAUUGCGGUUCAGAAAUCUCUGUGACUGACAAGAACAAACCCGUUCUGUGCAUUUGGUGGACCUUCGAUGGAAUUACUGCCCUCAAGAACAUCCGCGAGUGGACGUUCACACGAGCUGGUGGAGGACUGCGGAUGACGAGGCGAGGCACCCAGGAGCACCGCACUCUGCAAAAAUAAGCGAGUAACGUCAGGAGAACGCACACAAUCGCUCCGACUACAGGACACACAUUAGAGCUUUGUCCGUAAGCUUUCUCACUUCGAAUGUUCGUUCAAUCACAACGCGUGCCGACAGUUUGAGAGGCGCCAUUCGUCAAUAAGCAGCGAAACUUCUUAAAGCGCACGUCCGAUUUGGGCAGGGAGAAUGUCGCCACCGCUCAAACGCCACGCUGCAGUCAGAUGUUACAAAAUGUUCCUCCCGAUCAACCUCAAAUAAAAAUAUCCUUUACGGCUGAUGCUAGUUUGCUGUUUCUUUCCAUGCGGCCUCCGGAAACUUCCUUUUGCGAUGUUUGCUUAGUAGCUUGUCAUUUGUUUCGGUGGAACGCCGUUAGCAGACGGCUUCAAAGUAGCAGAUGUCAGGGCACGUUCCUUG
This is a non-coding RNA of Zootermopsis nevadensis, 1607 nucleotides long. NCBI's taxonomy places the organism in Eukaryota, Metazoa, Arthropoda, Insecta, Blattodea, Termopsidae. The record is from RefSeq and is a predicted model, not a curated record.